ACAAAGGGAAAAACUUAUAUUAAAUAGACUUAAAAUUUAACUACCUAUUAAGUUCAUGAUUCUUAAUUAACUAACCACUAAGUCAUAAUUACAAAUAUAAAAUUCAAAAAUACUAAACUCCUAAAAAUUAGGAAACACUACAUCAUGUGGAGUCCUGAAGUAAUAUUUAGCCCUGAUGUGAACGUCACUCUUUCCCACAACACUGACUUUAGAAUUAUCACUAAAGCUCAUAUUAGUACGAAAAUCUUCAUUUAAGUGAGAAAAAAAAUGACUUACUGCUGCACAUGUGAUUGCUACAUCUUGUAUCCAAAUACCAAAUAUAUGUUUCAUGUUUGUCCUCCUUGAUGUGAAACGCCAUCAAGAGUGUUUCUUGUUCUUCUUUCUCUACAAAGUUGGAUUGCUCCUCUUUGUUGGAAUGUAAGUUUGCAUUGUAUUCAGACUUGUAGUGAUAAAACAUAAAUAACACUCAAUAUUGGACUUAUUAAAUUUUGUUUGAUUAUGGUGAUCAUUUCCUUUACCUCUGCUUUGAGAUUUUGAUGUGUUAGAACCUCUACCUAUUCCUUUUCCACGACCAUAGCCUCAACCACGGCCAUUUGAUCAUCGCCCUAUAAAUAUGUCACCAAGAGUUAAAGCUUUCAAGGUUUCCUCCUCAAUUGAAGCUAUUGUCAUUCUCUACUCAUGUAAUAGUAAUGAACACUGCAAUUCAUCAAUAGAAAGCUCAUCAAGGUCUUUUGACUCAUCAAUAGAAUAUAUAACAUAAGAGAAUUUUGGAGCCAUUGAUAUAAGAAUCUUCUCCACCACAGUGACAUCUUCGAUUCUUUUGUCGUGAAUACGCAUCUUGUUCACUAUGUUAGUGUUCUUGAGAAAUACUCAUCAACAGAUUCUUUAUACUUCAUAUGGAGAAUUUUAAAUAUUCUACGAAGGGCUUGAAGCUGUGUUGUUUCACCUUUGUUGUUCUUUAAUAUUUUUCUUCAUAGAAUCCCAAAUGUGUUUGUAAUUAUCUUUUUGGAGAAUCAUCUCCAAAAUAGCACGAUCAAUUGCUUGAAAAAUAUUAUUCUUUGCCUUGAGAUCCUUCAGUUUUUAUUCUUCUAUUCUCUUAUGUUGAGCUUCUGUCAACAUCACUCCCGUGGUUGGUUCAGGUACUCCUGUUUCCACGACACUCCAAUAUUCUUUGAAUCAGAGAAAAUUCUCCAUUAGCAUCCUCCAAUGAUCAUAAUGACCAACAAAACAAGGAAUUGCCUGUUGCACAUAACUAUUCUCUGACACCAUGGAUGUAUACUACUGCAGAACAAAAAAAUUUGCUUUUUUUUUCUUUUUCUUACUUUGAUACCAAAGGUAGAAAUAGAGCAAUAAAAGAAUUGAACUGAACUCAAGUAAUUUUUACUGAUGAAAUCAAUCCAUUUAAAUAUAAUAAAAAUAAACAAACGUUACAAAAAAUAAAAUAAUCAUUAAG
RNAcentral lists this long non-coding RNA (1453 nucleotides) under Carica papaya (papaya). RNAcentral describes it as "long non-coding RNA (CPAP_LNC014186)". The record is from RNAcentral. Lineage: Eukaryota; Viridiplantae; Streptophyta; Magnoliopsida; Brassicales; Caricaceae.